CCGCGGUCACCGCGCUGAACGCCAGCCGCAGGGCGUUCUCGCCGCCCUCCAGCAGGAAGUCCGAACCCUUCACCACGGCC
This 80-nucleotide transfer RNA is filed under the name Catellatospora methionotrophica. RNAcentral's name for it is "tRNA-Glu". Lineage: Bacteria; Bacillati; Actinomycetota; Actinomycetes; Micromonosporales; Micromonosporaceae. The record is from RNAcentral.